CUUUGGGUGUUAGCAGCAGUGAAAAUUCUGCCACCUGUUACACAAGAGAAACUCCUUUGACUGCAGCAGAGUUGGAGAGGUAUACCUUAAUGAGGGGCAAUAAUGGCACGUUGCCAACUACACCAACGAAAACCAUAACGUCGUGGUUUUGGACUUGGCAAGGCAGAUGAAGGAGGAGGUGAUUUUCAAAAUCUUAGUUUUAAAAUGGAAAUAUUCUUCUCAUGUUAUGUCUACUCCAUAUAUGCAGUAUUCUGUUACUUAUUGCGGAUUAUAAUAGGAAAAUCUUCUUUUAAUUAAGAACUUCAGCAGCUCACCUUUAACUGCCAAUCAUUGGAUAAUUGGCCCUUUUCUAAUAGGCACUGCAGCUCAGGUAUGCUAAAGUGACUGUUUCUCAGAAUAACUUAGUGAUAGUAAGUUAUUUUUGGAACUCAUUUAUGAGAGAACAUAAUUAACUAUUCCAGGUCAUUAGGGAUACUGCAUUGCUUUUUUAAUCCUCUGACAGGUUCCUCCAGUUAUAUUAAUUCAUUAUUACUAUUCUCAACUUUCCAGGCAGAAAAGGAUGAGAAAGAAGCACUGAGCCAUUGUUGCCUUGCUGCACAAAGUAGCCAGUACUUCUCUGAGAAGAAAGGCAGCUUAGAUGAAUUUUAUCGUUUCAGCUGUGCAGGAGCAUAGCAGAAUGUCUUGGGGCGUUCAACCUGAGAGAUGACGCACUGUCUUUUGUCCACUGCCACGUGGCAGAACCUUUUAAGAGUGGUGACAGUACACCAGAGCUCAUCAGUGGAAGUAAAAAGGUCCCGUCCUUCACAGCAAAUGAGGAGACUUUGGUCCUGCAGUGUCAUAUGUAGCUUCUGCCUCAAACAGAACGUCUGAAUCGAUUGUAACCGGAGAUUUGUUUUUUCAAAGCUGUAAAACUGAAUGCAAUGGAACUGUCAGCUGAAAACCAGCAGCAUUGUAUCAGAGUAGAUUAAUAAUAAUGGACCUUUGCGAAAGCAGAGGACUUGAGAAUUAUUUUCCUUCUCAGAUCUUCUAACAAUACACUGCUUAGAACAGAGCUUUACAAGUGUUUGAAUUUGUGUUAUAAAGCUGCCUGAUUAGAGCUACUGAUUUUAUAGGUUCUCCAUUUUCUGAAGAAGCAGAAUAACUUAUGUACGUGAUUUUUAGACUUUCCAUGUACUGUUGCUAAGCACUUUAAACUAGCAUCUUUUAAAUGUUCACAACUACUAGUUCAAUUAUUCCUUCUUGUCAUAAUCAAAAGUAAAAACACAUUUAUGUCUUUUUCUAUAAAAGCAAAGAUACA
Molecule: long non-coding RNA, 1297 nt
Filed under: Struthio camelus australis
Lineage: Eukaryota; Metazoa; Chordata; Aves; Struthioniformes; Struthionidae
Description: lncRNA (ENSSCUG00000016696.1)
Source: RNAcentral